Molecule: long non-coding RNA, 1066 nt
Filed under: Taeniopygia guttata (zebra finch)
Lineage: Eukaryota; Metazoa; Chordata; Aves; Passeriformes; Estrildidae
Description: lncRNA (ENSTGUG00000021267.1)
Source: RNAcentral
CUUCACAGAGGUUUUAUUCGCACUCCGGAUACCCGCGCUGCCCUCCCACCCCGCUCACCCCCAGGAAAGACCUCCGCACCCUCACCCUGUCCUCCCCGAGCGGUGCCCAUUGAUUCGGCCCCUGGAUCUCCAGGAGGGGACAAGGCCACCAUCUUGCGGCCACCAGCACCACUGCACACACCCACCCGAGCGCACGGUCACACACGGGGCUACAGGGCUUGGACCGUGGCGAGCUGCCACAUCCCACCGCUCUUCGUGCCCUCAGUCCCCCGGACCAUGUCCUGCCGGGCACACGCUGUCCCUCCCCUCGCUCCCUGGCCAGGAAACUCGGGGAUUCCAGCACACCCAGGAGUAUCUGGAUGGGCAGAGGAUGCCGGCAUGCUGCUCCCAUCCCAGAUCGGGCAGAGGAUGCCGGCAGUGCUGCUCCCAUCCCAUCCCAGAUCGGGCAGAGGAUGCCGGCAGUGCUGCUCCCAUCCCAGCUCUGGCCCCUCCACCCCCACCCCGCUGCUCUGUGCGGUGUCAGCCAGCAGUGACCAGGGACCUCCUGGUUUGCACAGCGGGCUUCAUUGAGCACAGAAAGGCAGGCAGUGGCAGAUGAAGGCUCAGAACUGAGCCCUGGGGCUGAAAACGCAGCACUGAGCAGGGUCCAAGGGGAAUUUCCAUCUCUAUCACAGCCUAGGAGGGCAGCCCACAUGAGGUCUGCUGGAGGGAGUUGUUAAACCAGUGCUGCUGGUGACCAGCAGCCCAAAGCAAGUCCUUCCAUGCCUCUGUGAAGCGAGCUGGGGUCAUCUGCACACUACUGGGUUCUGCAAGGCUGCCCAGCCUGGUUUAAUGCUCAUCCCCCUCCUUCUGCUUCCUCCCCUUGUGAUGGAGCUGGCCAUGGUCUCCAUGGUGGUGGUGAGCAUGGGUAGCAGGUUUGUGGUCCUCACUUGGGUUUGUGUCCCUCUCGCUGUUGACCUCGUGAUGGCGUUGAGGAUGGAGGGGCUUGUGCUGGUGGACGGGGGUCUCUGACUCCAUCCCCUCGUGUUCAGGAAGGGAGCUUGGGGUUGCAGGGCCCUCCAUGGUG